GUGUCAGCCGCCGCGGUAAGACGAAGGUGGCGACCGUUGUUCGGAAUCACUGGGCAUAAAGCGCGCGUAGGCGGCAAAGUAAGUCGGGUGUGAAAUCCCUCGGCCUAACCGAGGAACUGCGCUCGAAACUACUUUGCUUGAGGACGGAAGGGGAGUGUGGAAUUCCUGGUGGAGCGGUGAAAUGCGUUGAUAUCAGGAGGAACACCGGCGGCGAAGGCGACACUCUGGUCCGUUUCUGACGCUGAGGCGCGAAAGCUAGGGGAGCAAACGGGAUUAGAUACCCCUGUAGUCC
RNAcentral lists this ribosomal RNA (292 nucleotides) under uncultured bacterium. Its description in RNAcentral is "partial 16S ribosomal RNA". It matches the Rfam family "Bacterial small subunit ribosomal RNA", at positions 505 to 796 of the family's 1533-position model. The record is from RNAcentral.